Molecule: ribosomal RNA, 255 nt
Filed under: uncultured bacterium
Lineage: Bacteria
Description: partial 16S ribosomal RNA
Rfam family: Bacterial small subunit ribosomal RNA
Source: RNAcentral
CGGACGGGUGAGUAACGCGUGGAAAAUUUGUCGUAUAUUGGGGGAUAACACUUAGAAAUAGGUGCUAAUACCGCAUAAGCGCACAGCUUCGCAUGAAGCGGUGUGAAAAACUCUGGUGGUAUACGAUGGUUCCGCGUCUGAUUAGCUAGUUGGUGGGGUAAUGGCCUACCAAGGCAACGAUCAGUAGCCGGCCUGAGAGGGUGAACGGCCACAUUGGGACUGAGACACGGCCCAAACUCCUACGGGAGGCAGCAG